This is a long non-coding RNA of Cyprinus carpio carpio, 667 nucleotides long. The record is from Ensembl. Lineage: Eukaryota; Metazoa; Chordata; Actinopteri; Cypriniformes; Cyprinidae.
AAAAUUUGUUUUUCGUUUGUGUUUUGUUUUAAUAGUUGUACUGUGUAAUUCAUAAUAAAUGGCAAUUUAUAAAGAAACUGUCAGUGCAGUAUAGAUUUUCACAAUGGAUUAUCAUCACUCCAGAUGCUGGCUCCCCUCUCCUCUUCAAAUGGACCCUUCUGUAUCUUCCGAAUCUGAGUCACAAACCUCAACCUGCCUUGCAAGGAAUGUUCCAUCACUGCAGCCCAGGGGAAAUUUGUCCUGUUAUUUUUCCAUUGCAUCUCACACUGCUGACAUCUGCGAGGGAAAUUGGUGGGCUGUUUCUGCUCCUCCUCUUUCUCCGACCUCCUUGAUCCCCCCUGAGAGACUGAGAUCUGGGAUGAAGAACUCUUUGCUUCCCCCUGCUGGAGCUCCUGCUCCAGCUUCUGUGUUUUUCUUCCCUGGUGGUUUAAUGUGUCAAGAGCAUUCCAGUUCUAAAUGUGUGUCACAGCUGUUAUUCAUUUCUGUAUUAAAAGGCCAAAAAAGUAUUCACUACUUGAAAAUGAAGUAACUAUACGAGGGGUUUACCGCAGUACUUGUAGCAUUUUGGACCCUGCUGUCGACCAAACCAGAUCUUCUUGUGAAAACUGGAGACCUAGUACACAUAUCACAUACGUAAACAUUUUGUGUCAAAUGUCAAUAAAAUCUG